RNAcentral lists this unclassified non-coding RNA (331 nucleotides) under Hevea brasiliensis (rubber tree). Lineage: Eukaryota; Viridiplantae; Streptophyta; Magnoliopsida; Malpighiales; Euphorbiaceae. The record is from RNAcentral.
GUGGUUCAUUAUUUUUUAGUAUACUGAAUAUAUUUUAUAAUUUAUCUUCAUUUCACAAUGUAAUUUAUCAUUAAAUUAAGGGAGUAAAUGAAAGAAGUUUUGUCCGAAAAAUACUUUGAUGAUUAACGAACCUACCCUUGAAUCUUAUGGUUAUAAGGUUGAAAUGAUCGAACUCUAAAUAAUAAAAGGGAAAAACAAAUUUUCAUGUCACUUAUAUUCUAAGUUAUUAUUGAUGAUUAAUUUAGUGAUAUUUGAGUUGUGUCUAAAAUUUUAAGGUUAUAAGUUCGAAUUUUAAUUGAAAUCAAUUGAGAGAAAAAAAAUUCUAGGUUAG